Long non-coding RNA from Coffea arabica (coffee), 840 nucleotides. RefSeq lists it as uncharacterized. The record is from RefSeq and is a predicted model, not a curated record. Lineage: Eukaryota; Viridiplantae; Streptophyta; Magnoliopsida; Gentianales; Rubiaceae.
CCUCGUUCUUUUCUCUCCCAGAUUCAACGAGCAGCUCCAGCUCCCCUCUUUCCUAUUCUCCAGUCCUAGGGCUUGAAUUCUUUGUCGAUCGAUCUAUCUUUCAUCCAUCUCUCUCUAUCUCUCGAUUAUUAUGGAGAAUUCGCCCUACGAGAAGCUGGACGGCCUGGCCAGGUGGUUCGGGAUGAGCGUGGCUUCCGCAUUCUUCGCGUCGCUUGAACGAUGCUCCUGCGUUAACCUCAAUACCUCUGAGUCCGACGACGAGGACGAAGAAGAGGCUAAGGACCGCCCUCUCAUGUUCACCAAUCUCCGGUCCUUCGGCGCCGACUCGUCCGUCUCGCCGUCCACCGUCAAUCAUACUAGUAACCAGCCUCCCUCCGUCGAUACCCUCCCUGUCUGAUCAAUUUUGUAAUUGAUCUAUCAAUUCAAGACUGAUGGACUUGGAAAACGGAAGGCUGGAUUUCUUAGGUGAAGAAUCAAUAGGUUUCUUGUUUUGAUUAAGAGGAUGAGCUUAGAAGGUGAAUUAGGUAUCCAAAUUCUGAAUAAAUGUUUCUAUUGUUUCGAUCCUGCCAUAUACCUUUUGACAAUGGUAUUCAAGCAGGCUAUACAGAGAAAGUAGUUCUUUUUGUCCACAAAAAUAACGGAUUUUGUGGCUGUUGGUGAUUUUGCACGGUUAAUAUGGGAACUAGUCCGGUAUGUCAAACAAGAACCUUGUGCAGCCUCUUUGAAUUUUAUUGUGUUUUUUGAAUUUUUCCAAUAUUAUCUGUUGCCUAUAGGUAUCCUUUUGCGCAAAAUGUAAUCAGUAGUGUUUUUAAUGAAUCCUGGGUCAAUUUGGAUGCUCGA